This 80-nucleotide transfer RNA is filed under the name Thelephora aurantiotincta. RNAcentral's name for it is "tRNA-Leu". It matches the Rfam family "tRNA". From Rfam's summary of the family: Transfer RNA (tRNA) molecules are approximately 80 nucleotides in length. Their secondary structure includes four short double-helical elements and three loops (D, anti-codon, and T loops). Further hydrogen bonds mediate the characteristic L-shaped molecular structure. tRNAs have two regions of fundamental functional importance: the anti-codon, which is responsible for specific mRNA codon recognition, and the 3' end, to which the tRNAs corresponding amino acid is attached (by aminoacyl-tRNA synthetases). tRNAs cope with the degeneracy of the genetic code in two manners: having more than one tRNA (with a specific anti-codon) for a particular amino acid; and 'wobble' base-pairing, i.e. permitting non-standard base-pairing at the 3rd anti-codon position. The record is from RNAcentral. Lineage: Eukaryota; Fungi; Basidiomycota; Agaricomycetes; Thelephorales; Thelephoraceae.
CGAGUGUGCCGAAAAGGUAGCCGGGUGAAUCUUAGGAAUUCAUGAUUUUUAUCGUAAGAGUUCAAGUCUCUUUACUCGUA